UUUCCGUAGGUGAACCUGCGGAAGGAUCAUUGUCACACAUCCUAAUGGAUGCUUGUGCCAACAAGCAGACCCAGCGAACCAUUCUCCUAUCACUUGAGGGGCUGCAUCGCGAGGUGCAGCUGUCGGCGGUCGGGCCCUUGCUUCAGGGGCCGGAGUCCUUGCUGGGUUCACCGUUGCGGGUGAGCACCGGCCGUCCGACGAGGGCCGCUCUUGGGCCUCGCGCACGGGAGAGUGCGGGGGCGGCGUUUCCCACUCCAGCGGUCCCAUCCGGGACAGCUGCGCAACCAGCCAAAACACUAGGCAAAAACCGACUGAAGAACGAUCCUUUGCGGGGCGCCAUCGGGAGCCCUGCCUCGGAUCAAAAGCAAACUAAAGACAACUCUCAACAACGGAUAUCUUGGCUCUC
Molecule: unclassified non-coding RNA, 406 nt
Filed under: plant metagenome
Description: partial contains small subunit ribosomal RNA, internal transcribed spacer 1, and 5.8S ribosomal RNA
Source: RNAcentral